AGGGGGGUUGGCGGGCGUGCUAUACAUGCAGUCGAGCGAAUCGGAUGGGAGCUUGCUCCUUGUAUGUUUACCGCGCGACGGGUUGAGUCACGUGUGGGUCCUGCCUGUUAGACUGGGAUAUCUUCCGGGACCCGGGGCUUACCCGAUGCUUGUUUGAACCCCAUGGGUUCGCAAAUGAGGUGGCUUCGGCUAUCUCUCUCAUGUGGGGCCCCGGCUCAUUAUCUCUAUGUGGAGAGGUUGCGUCUCCACGGCGACGAUGCGUAUCCGACAUCUGAGAGUGAUCUCCCACACUGUGGACUGUGACACAGGCCACACUCUUAUACGGGAGAGCACUAUGGGAUCUCUUCCACUGUGCGAAAGUCUCUGAGAGAAACGCCGCGCGAGUGAGAUAAGUGUUCGCAUCUCAAAACUCUGUUUUGUGGGGGGAGAACAUGUGCUUGUAAUAUGGGCGGGCCUUGUGAGGGCCUAAAACAGAGCCACACCUCUCUACAUGUGCGCAGACGCGCUAUAUACAUGUGUGAAAGUUUUCCCGAAAUUUUUGGCGUUAAAGCUCGCACGGGGGGUUCUCUUAACUGAUGUGUAAAACCCCCAGCGUCUCACCCGGGGAGAGGGCUCUUGGAAAUCGGGAACAUUUAGUGUCGCAAAAAGAAGAAGUGGGGAUUUCCCAUGUUGUCGGUGUAAAUUGCUGUAAGAUGUUGGGGGGAAACCCACAUGUGGCAAGGGGACACCUCUCGGGCCGGAACGAGACCUGAGGAGCGGAAAACGUGGGGGAGGCCAACGGAUUAGAUACCUUGUGUGAGUCCCCCGCUUAACGAGAAGUGUGCUUAUUGGCUAAGGAGGGUUUCCCGCCCUUUAAUGGUGUGCGACGUUAACCCUUUAAAGCAUCUCCGCCCUGGGGGAGAUACACGGUCCCCAAGAGCUUGAACUUUUAAGAGAUUUGAGGGGGGGCCCGCCACAACCGUGGGGAAACAUUGGGGGUUUUAUAAUUC
RNAcentral lists this ribosomal RNA (989 nucleotides) under Bacillus cereus. Its description in RNAcentral is "partial 16S ribosomal RNA". It matches the Rfam family "Bacterial small subunit ribosomal RNA", at positions 26 to 873 of the family's 1533-position model. Lineage: Bacteria; Bacillati; Bacillota; Bacilli; Caryophanales; Bacillaceae. The record is from RNAcentral.